UCCCUGGUGGCUCAGAUGGUAAAGCAUCUGCCUGCAAUGCAGGAGACCCAGGUUCAAUCCUGAGUUGGGAA
This 71-nucleotide transfer RNA is filed under the name Capra hircus (goat). It matches the Rfam family "tRNA". From Rfam's summary of the family: Transfer RNA (tRNA) molecules are approximately 80 nucleotides in length. Their secondary structure includes four short double-helical elements and three loops (D, anti-codon, and T loops). RNAcentral also lists the same sequence under 1 other name. Lineage: Eukaryota; Metazoa; Chordata; Mammalia; Artiodactyla; Bovidae. The record is from Rfam by way of RNAcentral.